Molecule: long non-coding RNA, 837 nt
Organism: Centruroides sculpturatus (bark scorpion)
Lineage: Eukaryota; Metazoa; Arthropoda; Arachnida; Scorpiones; Buthidae
Exons: 3
Source: RefSeq, a predicted model, not a curated record
UGAUUGCAUAAAGACUUCUAUGUGAAUUUAUCCAAACUAAUAUAUUCUUUCUGGGCCAUAAAUGGACUUACACCACUUUCAUAAUUACUAAACUGUAAAAUUCAUUAAAUUUCUAUUAUGUAAAACUCAAUGUCACUUGAAACACAUUGCGUUUUAUUCUGAUUUUGUUCAUAUAUAAUAACAAGAAAUAAAAUAGUAUUGUUUAUUCUGAACAUUAAAAAUAUUUACUUAUUGUUAAACUAUUUUAUGAUAAAUUUAUCAUUAUUAUGAGCUUACCAUUAGACACUGCUUUUCAUUUAGAUUCAUUACAUGGAUUUUUUUCUAGUCCAUCAAAUUGUACAUUUGUUGGUAAUAUUUACAGUUUUACUCUUCUGUUGUAAGGGGCUGUCUUUAAAUGAUGUCCACACUGAAAGGGAGGGAGGGGUUAAGACAAGUUGGACAAGGAGGGUUGAGUAUUAGUGGACAUCCAUUUAUUUCAUUAAAUUUUAUACAAUAUGCAUUUUAUUAUAUUUAUUUCAAAGUUUCUUGUAUGUUUCAUUUCUACUUAUGGUAUCUAUCAUUCAUAAAGUGAUGAAGGUUUUAACAGGGAUAGAGUUAUGUUGGACAUCCAUAGAGGGAAAGGGGUUACAAAAACUUGGACAAACUGGGACAAGAGGGAAAAGUAAACAUUUCAAGAAAACUGCACAUGUAAUUUAUGGAUAGCCCAAGUACUUAGACUGUAGAAAAUGGACUUAUACCACUUUCAAAAUCAAUGGUUAUGCAAUGUCAUUUAUCGAUAAAUUUUCAAUUGAUCAAAGCUUAUGGUUAUUUUAAAAUGUUAAGUGAGAUCGGAAGAGC